RNAcentral lists this ribosomal RNA (192 nucleotides) under Vibrio splendidus. Its description in RNAcentral is "partial 16S ribosomal RNA". It matches the Rfam family "Bacterial small subunit ribosomal RNA", at positions 1 to 176 of the family's 1533-position model. The record is from RNAcentral. Lineage: Bacteria; Pseudomonadati; Pseudomonadota; Gammaproteobacteria; Vibrionales; Vibrionaceae.
AAAUUGAAGAGUUUGAUCAUGGCUCAGAUUGAACGCUGGCGGCAGGCCUAACACAUGCAAGUCGAGCGGAAACGACAACAUUGAAUCUUCGGAGGAUUUGUUGGGCGUCGAGCGGCGGACGGGUGAGUAAUGCCUAGGAAAUUGCCUUGAUGUGGGGGAUAACCAUUGGAAACGAUGGCUAAUACCGCAUAA